This is a long non-coding RNA of Rana temporaria (common frog), 390 nucleotides long. RefSeq lists it as uncharacterized. The record is from RefSeq and is a predicted model, not a curated record. NCBI's taxonomy places the organism in Eukaryota, Metazoa, Chordata, Amphibia, Anura, Ranidae. The transcript is spliced from 3 exons.
GUUAAAUACUCCAUAUGAAUUGAGGCUCUUCAGUGCCCAUGUUAUUGUCUUACUUAAUUCCCCUGUAUUCACCUUGAUUUUAUUACGCUUCAAGGUAUGGCUGUUUUACAUAUAUUAACCCUAUUGACUCUAUUAUGGAUUUGUUUAAUUAGUUGAAACAGAUCAUAAUUUAAUAACACAUAUUCUAACAUAGAUUCUUUUUCUUCUGUAUUUUUAAGUCAGUUGAACUUGGAUUUCAAUAUCCACCCUGAGGGGGUUUUUCCUUGACUGGCUGUGCAUGAAGCUAGGAGUAAUCUAGAGAGACGAUCUUGUCCUAAUUCCCCUGAAGAAGCCAAGAGGCGAAACUAGUAGGGUCGACCUGAUCGAAAAAAUUAUUUCUAGAUCUUGCUC